GCUGGGACUUGGAAAAACAGGUUAUAUCACAAAUAUCAUACAGUAUCACCAGGCUCACAAAACAAAGGUUCCUACACCUUAUACAAUUAUUUAUGAAAUACACACAGACACAAAAAUGUAGGCUGCUCCCUGCCCCCGGAAUCCAAUUUGUGAUAAAAUCAAGUUAAAUAAAUUUCAGCUUAAGAAUACUUCAUUUGUUUAUUUUCUUGGUGGUGCAAAAAUUCAUUAAAACCUUGAAAAGAACUUUUUAUACUAACCUUUUAGUUUCCUAGAACUCACUCUGAAUAUACAAUCUUUCCCAAGCUUGAAACAAAUCACAGUAAAGAAAAAAACAAAAAACACUGGAAAUGACCAAGGAUUUUCUCCAGUAAACAGAAUUUAAAUAAUAGCUUUUAACUGAGAGAACAGUGAAGUAACACUACCAAAAAGAUUUUUGAACUUACAGUAAUAAUAGACAAAGUGCAAAACUUUCACAUUUUCUUAAACUCUGAAUGAACACUAAGAAUAAUUCUUACUAAUUUAUCAAGAAGAUUACUUACUCACUUUUUAGACAAGUUCACCUUAAGGUCCCCCUCUCCUACCAUACAAUACUUACAUCCCUAGAAAUGAAAAGUGGAGAGGGCUCCAAUCAAGCCGGCCUGUUUUAUUUGACAACCAAAAAAAAAAAAAAAAGUCACCACCAUCAACAACAAAAAACCCCUGGGUCUAUAAAUGUUAAAAUUGGGUAGGAAAAUAAUUAAUUAGUGAGAACUUACUCCUUUCAACCAUAUCCCUCUCCUAGGGAUGACCAAAUAUUUUUAAAAGAGGGGUGAGCUAACUAAAUACAGUUUAAAAUACGCCACUAAAUCAUCGAUGAACACAUUUCAGACUCUGGCAGGUAAGGUGUGGGUUUAAGAGCACUUACUUCAUAAAAGACUGAAGAGUUGAAGGAGAAACUCUAGGUUUUGUACCCGUAUUACUUCUACACAGAUGCCUCCUUCCAAGUUAAUCACAUUCUAUCUCUAACAGCUUUUAAAAGAAUAUUUUAAAUAUUGGAGGAUAUUUAAAUCCCAGCUUUAGAAAAUGAGCUUAGGACAUGAAGGUCAUCUGUUGGUACAAGUCACA
This 1104-nucleotide long non-coding RNA is filed under the name Ursus americanus (American black bear). RNAcentral's name for it is "lncRNA (ENSUAMG00000012252.1)". The record is from RNAcentral. Lineage: Eukaryota; Metazoa; Chordata; Mammalia; Carnivora; Ursidae.